GACUGGGGCGGUCUCCUCCCAAAGCGUAACGGAGGAGUACGAAGGUACGCUAGGUACGGUCGGAAAUCGUGCUGAUAGUGCAAUGGCAUAAGCGUGCUUAACUGCGAGACCGACAAGUCGAGCAGGUGCGAAAGCAGGUCAUAGUGAUCCGGUGGUUCUGUAUGGAAGGGCCAUCGCUCAACGGAUAAAAGGUACUCUGGGGAUAACAGGCUGAUACCGCCCAAGAGUUCAUAUCGACGGCGGUGUUUGGCACCUCGAUGUCGGCUCAUCUCAUCCUGGGGCUGUAGCCGGUCCCAAGGGUAUGGCUGUUCGCCAUUUAAAGAGGUACGUGAGCUGGGUUUAAAACGUCGUGAGACAGUUUGGUCCCUAUCUGCCGUGGGCGUUGGAUAUUUGAAGGGGGCUGCUCCUAGUACGAGAGGACCGGAGUGGACGAACCUCUGGUGUACCGGUUGUGACGCCAGUCGCAUCGCCGGGUAGCUAUGUUCGGAAGAGAUAACCGCUGAAAGCAUCUAAGCGGGAAACUCGCCUUAAGAUGAGAUAUCCCUGGAGGCUUGACCUCCUUGAAGGGUCGUUCGAGACCAGGACGUUGAUAGGUCAGGUGUGUAAGCGCAGUAAUGCGUUCAGCUAACUGAUACUAAUUGCCCGUAAGGCUUGAUCCUAUAACA
RNAcentral lists this ribosomal RNA (665 nucleotides) under Burkholderia ubonensis. RNAcentral describes it as "bacterial LSU rRNA". It matches the Rfam family "Bacterial large subunit ribosomal RNA", at positions 2272 to 2925 of the family's 2925-position model. Lineage: Bacteria; Pseudomonadati; Pseudomonadota; Betaproteobacteria; Burkholderiales; Burkholderiaceae. The record is from RNAcentral.